CUUUGCAGACCUCUCAAACCAAGGGCAGCAGGAAAAAAAUUGUAAUCCGUUUGCUUUGCCUAUAAAACAUUUUGAAGGGCCAGCCCUCUCCUCUACUGCAGAAAGAAGUACAGUACUGGGGAAAGAUCCAUUUAGCACUAGCAGGUGCAGCCAAAUGAGCCACAGCUGCAUAGGUGAUCACCAGGGAAUUGCUGUGCCUCAUUUGCCUAAAUGAUUCACUCUCAGACCCAUGAGACUUUCCCUUCCCCCAAAAGAAUGUUUCUCUGCAGAGAGGUCGAUGAAAUUUACUGACUGAGGGUAAAUGCUCCAUCUGUGGGGGGAGCGCCGGGCAGAAGGACAUGGAUCUUCCAGCUAGUUCUCCAAAAGAAAAGACUCCAGCUUAUGAAAAUGUGGGCUGAUGUCGCCUGCAAGCAGAUAAGUGCCUCUCUGCGAGGUGCAGAGCUGCCGGGGCGGGGCUCCUUUGCCUGCCUGAACAGAAGAGACGGACACAGCCAGGUGGGCUACAUCACAUUAUACAAAGGCCUGGGCAUCAACAAAGCCUUUAAGGAGGCUGCCCAUUCCUCGCUCACCCUCCCACCCUUUAAGGUAAGGUUGGCUGGUUGCUUUGGGUCCAGAUGGGAAUUUUUGGCUGGCACUUCAAUUGGCCAGGAGUGCCAGUGGUUUUUUUGCCCAUCUCAUUCUUACCUGCGAGGGCGGUUUGUGGCUAUGCUUUAAAAUUGUC
RNAcentral lists this long non-coding RNA (721 nucleotides) under Pogona vitticeps (central bearded dragon). RNAcentral's name for it is "lncRNA (ENSPVIG00000002338.1)". Lineage: Eukaryota; Metazoa; Chordata; Lepidosauria; Squamata; Agamidae. The record is from RNAcentral.